GCAGUCAGCUGGAUAAUCGCUGGUUUGAUUCUUGAAAGAGAUUUCGAACUGGAGGAAAGUCCGGGCUCCACAGGACAGGGUGCCAGAUAACGUCUGGGGGGUGAAAACCCACGGCCAGUGCAACAGAGAGAAGACCGCCAGCUACGGCUGGUAAGGGUGAAAGGGUGCGGUAAGAGCGCACCGCGCUUCUGGUAACAGAAGUGGCAUGGUAAACCCCACCCGGAGCAAGACCAAAUAGGAAAACCAUGGCGUGGUCCGCGCCGUUUUCGGGUUGGUUGCUUGAGGCUGGAAGGUGACUUCCAGUCCAGAUGAAUGAUUAUCCCCGACAGAACCCGGCUUACAGGCUGACUUUCAAA
RNAcentral lists this RNase P RNA (356 nucleotides) under Gammaproteobacteria bacterium. RNAcentral describes it as "RNase P RNA component class A". It matches the Rfam family "Bacterial RNase P class A". From Rfam's summary of the family: Ribonuclease P (RNase P) is a ubiquitous endoribonuclease, found in archaea, bacteria and eukarya as well as chloroplasts and mitochondria. The record is from RNAcentral. Lineage: Bacteria; Pseudomonadati; Pseudomonadota; Gammaproteobacteria.